This 87-nucleotide ribosomal RNA is filed under the name Saccharopolyspora elongata. RNAcentral's name for it is "Saccharopolyspora sp. 7K502 partial 23S ribosomal RNA". The record is from RNAcentral. Lineage: Bacteria; Bacillati; Actinomycetota; Actinomycetes; Pseudonocardiales; Pseudonocardiaceae.
AGUGGGUGCGAGCAUCUUUGUGGCCAAGUUAUGUAGGGCACAUGGUGGAUGCCUUGGUACCAGGAGCCGAUGAAGGACGUGGGAGAC